CUUAACUGUAAAAUUGCCAUCGAUACUGUUAUUCUUGAGUACAGUUGAGGUGGGUGGAAUGUGUAAUGUAGCGGUGAAAUGCGUAGAUAUUACACAGAAUACCGAUUGCGUAAGCAGCUCACUAAACUGUUACUGACGCUGAGGCACGAAAGCGUGGGUAGCAAACAGGAUUAGAUACCCUGGUAGUCCACGCUGUAAACGAUGAUCACUCGCUGUUGGCGAUACACAGUCAGCGGUCAAGCGAAAGCGAUAAGUGAUCCACCUGGGGAGUACGUCCGCAAGAAUGAAACUCAAAGGAAUUGACGGGGGCCCGCACAAGCGGAGGAACAUGUGGUUUAAUUCGAUGAUACGCGAGGAACCUUACCUGGGCUUAAAUGCAUAACGACGUACCGGGAAACCGGUAUUCCUUCGGGCGU
RNAcentral lists this ribosomal RNA (416 nucleotides) under uncultured Bacteroidota bacterium. RNAcentral's name for it is "bacterial SSU rRNA". It matches the Rfam family "Bacterial small subunit ribosomal RNA", at positions 608 to 1029 of the family's 1533-position model. The record is from RNAcentral. Lineage: Bacteria; Pseudomonadati; Bacteroidota.